UUUAUCGGUUUUGGAUGGACUCGCGGCCUAUCAGCUUGUUGGUGAGGUAAUGGCUCACCAAGGCGACGACGGGUAGCCGGCCUGAGAGGGUGACCGGCCACACUGGGACUGAGACACGGCCCAGACUCCUACGGGAGGCAGCAGUGGGGAAUAUUGCACAAUGGGCGCAAGCCUGAUGCAGCGACGCCGCGUGAGGGAUGACGGCCUUCGGGUUGUAAACCUCUUUCAGUAGGGAAGAAGCGAAAGUGACGGUACCUGCAGAAGAAGCACCGGCUAACUACGUGCCAGCAGCCGCGGUAAUACGUAGGGUGCGAGCGUUAUCCGGAAUUAUUGGGCGUAAAGAGCUCGUAGGCGGUUUGUCGCGUCUGUCGUGAAAGUCCGGGGCUUAACCCCGGAUCUGCGGUGGGUACGGGCAGACUAGAGUGCAGUAGGGGAGACUGGAAUUCCUGGUGUAGCGGUGGAAUGCGCAGAUAUCAGGAGGAACACCGAUGGCGAAGGCAGGUCUCUGGGCUGUAACUGACGCUGAGGAGCGAAAGCAUGGGGAGCGAACAGGAUUAGAUACCCUGGUAGUCCAUGCCGUAAACGUUGGGCACUAGGUGUGGGGACCAUUCCACGGUUUCCGCGCCGCAGCUAACGCAUUAAGUGCCCCGCCUGGGGAGUACGGCCGCAAGGCUAAAACUCAAAGGAAUUGACGGGGGCCCGCACAAGCGGCGGAGCAUGCGGAUUAAUUCGAUGCAACGCGAAGAACCUUACCAAGGCUUGACAUGUUCUCGAUCGCCGUAGAGAUACGGUUUCCCCUUUGGGGNGGGUUCACAGGUGGUGCAUGGUUGUCGUCAGCUCGUGUCGUGAGAUGUUGGGUUAAGUCCCGCAACGAGCGCAACCCUCGUUCCAUGUUGCCAGCACGUCGUGGUGGGGACUCAUGGGAGACUGCCGGGGUCAACUCGGAGGAAGGUGAGGACGACGUCAAAUCAUCAUGCCCCUUAUGUCUUGGGCUUCACGCAUGCUACAAUGGCCGGUACAAUGGGUUGCGAUACUGUGAGGUGGAGCUAAUCCCAAAAAGCCGGUCUCAGUUCGGAUUGGGGUCUGCAACUCGACCCCAUGAAGUCGGAGUCGCUAGUAAUCGCAGAUCAGCAACGCUGCGGUGAAUACGUUCCC
RNAcentral lists this ribosomal RNA (1155 nucleotides) under Micrococcus sp. Its description in RNAcentral is "bacterial SSU rRNA". It matches the Rfam family "Bacterial small subunit ribosomal RNA", at positions 211 to 1375 of the family's 1533-position model. The record is from RNAcentral. Lineage: Bacteria; Bacillati; Actinomycetota; Actinomycetes; Micrococcales; Micrococcaceae.